Molecule: ribosomal RNA, 164 nt
Filed under: Siparuna pauciflora
Lineage: Eukaryota; Viridiplantae; Streptophyta; Magnoliopsida; Laurales; Siparunaceae
Description: 5.8S ribosomal RNA
Rfam family: 5.8S ribosomal RNA
About the family: 5.8S ribosomal RNA (5.8S rRNA) is a component of the large subunit of the eukaryotic ribosome.
Source: RNAcentral
AAAUACGACUCUCGGCAGCGGAUAUCUCGGCUCUCGCAUCGAUGAAGGACGUAGCGAAAUGCGAUACUUGGUGUGAAUUGCAGAAUCCAGUGAACCAUCGAGUCUUCGAACGCAAGUUGCGCCCGAGGCCAUUGGGCCGAGGGCACGCCUGCCUGGGUGUCUCU